Non-coding RNA from Camelina sativa (false flax), 549 nucleotides. The record is from RefSeq and is a predicted model, not a curated record. NCBI's taxonomy places the organism in Eukaryota, Viridiplantae, Streptophyta, Magnoliopsida, Brassicales, Brassicaceae.
AAUGUCGAAAAGCCCAAAUCAAAAUCAUUCGCUUCGUAAACCUAAUUUCAAAUCUUCCCCUUUCCUCCGUCGGCGAUUUUUCUCUCCGGUGCCUUCGUCUUGUACCCGUUGAACGUUUGCCGUUAGCGCCUACCUCGGAUACAAGUGUAAAGCGAUUCAACCGUUGAUUGUCAUGUUUGAGUAAUACUGAAGAGAUUUUGCGAUGUCUGCAUCUGCUAAAAGAAGUUCUACAGAUACUCAAGAGUAGAAAGAUCUAAUGCUCGGUAUGGUUUUUCAAGUGUUUAAGAGUUUGUUUCUAUGAUCCGAAUUCCGAAGUGACCACUCAGAUCAUAGAGCACGUUGUGAAAAAAAAAUUAUAUCCAGCUUACCUGAAUAACGAUGAUGUCAAAAACCACUUCCUUUAAGUUCCUGAAAUAAAUGUUUGUUUAGCUUUCUUAUGACUGGCACUUAAGAACAAACAAAUCCAACAAAUUUUAGUAAUCUUACAAUAAUGUUGUUGUGAAACUCUACUCUAAUUUCACUCAUUUGAAAGUUUUCUUUUGGAGUUCA